AACGAACGCUGGCGGCAGGCCUAACACAUGCAAGUCGAACGCCGUAGCAAUACGGAGUGGCAGACGGGUGAGUAACGCGUGGGAACAUACCCUUCGGUUCGGAAUAACUCAGGGAAACUUGUGCUAAUACCGGAUACGUCCGAGGUAAAACUUGGAGAAAGAUUUAUCGCCGGAGGAUUGGCCCGCGUCUGAUUAGCUUGUUGGUGAGGUAAUGGCUCACCAAGGCGACGAUCAGUAGCUGGUCUGAGAGGAUGAUCAGCCACAUUGGGACUGAGACACGGCCCAAACUCCUACGGGAGGCAGCAGUGGGGAAUAUUGGACAAUGGCGAAAGCCUGAUCCAGCCAUGCCGCGUGAGUGAUGAAGGCC
Molecule: ribosomal RNA, 367 nt
Filed under: uncultured bacterium
Lineage: Bacteria
Description: bacterial SSU rRNA
Rfam family: Bacterial small subunit ribosomal RNA
Source: RNAcentral